ACGCGGCCCCGCACUCCCGGGGCGUCUCGUUCUCAUUGCGAGAAGAGGCGCACCCAGAGCGUACACGCUGGGACCCGAAAGAUGGUGAACUAUGCCUGGUCAGGACGAAGUCAGGGGAAACCCUGAUGGAGGUCCGUAGCGAUUCUGACGUGCAAAUCGAUCGUCGGAACUGGGUAUAGGGGCGAAAGACUAAUCGAACCAUCUAGUAGCUGGUUCCCUCCGAAGUUUCCCUCAGGAUAGCUGGCGCUCGCUUUUGCGAGUCUCAUCCGGUAAAGCGAAUGAUUAGAGGCAUUGGGGUCGAAACGGCCUCAACCUAUUCUCAAACUUUAAAUGGGUGAGAUCUCCGGCUUGCUCAAACUUGAAGCCGCGAGAUUAACUUAAUAUAAGGAUCAGAGUGCCAAGUGGGCCACUUUUGGUAAGCAGAACUGGCGCUGUGGGAUGAACCAAACGCAGAGUUAAAGCGCCAAAAUCGACGCUUAUGGGAUACCAUGAAAGGCGUU
Molecule: ribosomal RNA, 500 nt
Filed under: Hydrophilidae sp. 19 MTM-2009
Lineage: Eukaryota; Metazoa; Arthropoda; Insecta; Coleoptera; Hydrophilidae
Also listed under: 1 other name
Description: eukaryotic LSU rRNA
Rfam family: Eukaryotic large subunit ribosomal RNA
Source: RNAcentral